Molecule: ribosomal RNA, 383 nt
Filed under: uncultured organism
Description: bacterial SSU rRNA
Rfam family: Bacterial small subunit ribosomal RNA
Source: RNAcentral
UGGAUUAGGCAUGCAAGUCGAGCGAGAAGGAUAUCAAAGUUUACUUUGAUAUCCGGAAAGCGGCGCAAGGGAGAGUAACGCGUAGUUAUCUACCCCAAGGCCCGGAAUAGCUGCGGGAAACUGCAGGUAAUGCCGGAUAAUAUCCCCGGAUCAAAGGUGUGAUUCCGCCUUGGGAGGAGACUGCGUUGUACUAGCUUGUUGGUAGGGUAAUGGCCUACCAAGGCUACGAUGCAUAGCGGGCGUGAGAGCGUGGCCCGUCUCACUGGGACUGAAACACUGCCCAGACACCUACGGGUGGCUGCAGUCGAGAAUCUUCGGCAAUGGGCGAAAGCCUGACCGAGCAAUGCCGCGUGCGGGAUGAAGGCCCUCGGGUUGUAAACCGC